Eupeodes corollae is the source of this 583-nucleotide long non-coding RNA. RefSeq lists it as uncharacterized. NCBI's taxonomy places the organism in Eukaryota, Metazoa, Arthropoda, Insecta, Diptera, Syrphidae. The transcript has 2 exons. The record is from RefSeq and is a predicted model, not a curated record.
GGGCCUAUUAUGGAUCACAACUCAACUUAGUUGAGUUGUAAUCAAGACAACUCAAUUUGAAGACAACUGCAAAAAAAAAUCGUAUUAUGGGAGACAACUUUUUUCAGUUGAGUUGACCAAAUAUGUUGCCUACUUUUAUGUGCUUGUUUCGUGUCAAAAUCAGCUGUGUAAAGUAAAAUACGUAGGAAAUUCAAAAUUUUGAAUUCAGUGCAAAAUUUUAUAAAAAAGACAAAAUAAUAGGAAAUGGAGAGUUCUAUUGAUUUGUUUCUUAGAAAUUCGGAAGAAGAAAAUGCUCUAAAUGUUGCGCUGAUGAGAAAAAAUAUUCGAGAUCACUCCAAUCCAUUGGAACUUCCAAACAAAAAAUUUAUAAGUUAUUUUAGACUCAACAAAGACGCAUUUUUUUAUGUGCUAAAUGAAAUCAAAGAUCAUUUGAAACAACCACAGCGUUCCUCCGCAAUCCCACCAAUUCUCAAACUCUGCACUGCCCUACGUUUCACGGCAGAAGGAAGUUACCAAAAGUGCAGUGGUAAUGAUUUUAAUUUAGGCCUUGCUCAGCCAACAGUUUCGGUAGUGUUAAAAAAGU